Molecule: long non-coding RNA, 165 nt
Organism: Octopus sinensis (East Asian common octopus)
Lineage: Eukaryota; Metazoa; Mollusca; Cephalopoda; Octopoda; Octopodidae
Exons: 3
Source: RefSeq, a predicted model, not a curated record
UUCAGUUUCCACCUACCAAAUCUACUCAUAAAGCUUUGGUCAGCCCAAGGCUAUAGUACAAGACACUUGCCCAAGGUGCCAUGCAGUGGGACUGAACCUGGAAUCAUGUGAUUGGGAAGCAAGCUUACUAAUCACACAGCCACUUACUGGAUAAAAUGUUGGACA